Molecule: ribosomal RNA, 301 nt
Filed under: uncultured bacterium
Lineage: Bacteria
Description: partial 16S ribosomal RNA
Rfam family: Bacterial small subunit ribosomal RNA
Source: RNAcentral
CAGUCGCCGCGGUAAUACGGAGGGUGCAAGCGUUAAUCGGAAUUACUGGGCGUAAAGCGCACGCAGGCGGUCUGUCAAGUCAGAUGUGAAAUCCCCGGGCUUAACCUGGGAACUGCAUUUGAAACUGGCAGGCUAGAGUCUUGUAGAGGGGGGUAGAAUUCCAGGUGUAGCGGUGAAAUGCGUAGAGAUCUGGAGGAAUACCGGUGGCGAAGGCGGCUCACUGGACAAUAACUGACGCUGAUGCACGAAAGCUAGGGGAGCAAACAGGAUUAGAUACCCCGGUAGUCCCUGUCUCUUAUAC